This 492-nucleotide ribosomal RNA is filed under the name uncultured bacterium. Its description in RNAcentral is "partial 16S ribosomal RNA". It matches the Rfam family "Bacterial small subunit ribosomal RNA", at positions 29 to 507 of the family's 1533-position model. The record is from RNAcentral.
AGUGAACGCUGGCGGUAGGCCUAACACAUGCAAGUCGAACGGCAGCACAGUAAGAGCUUGCUCUUACGGGUGGCGAGUGGCGGACGGGUGAGGAAUACAUCGGAAUCUACUUUUUCGUGGGGGAUAACGUAGGGAAACUUACGCUAAUACCGCAUACGACCUACGGGUGAAAGCAGGGGAUCUUCGGACCUUGCGCGGUUGAAUGAGCCGAUGUCGGAUUAGCUAGUUGGCGGGGUAAAGGCCCACCAAGGCGACGAUCCGUAGCUGGUCUGAGAGGAUGAUCAGCCACACUGGAACUGAGACACGGUCCAGACUCCUACGGGAGGCAGCAGUGGGGAAUAUUGGACAAUGGGCGCAAGCCUGAUCCAGCCAUACCGCGUGGGUGAAGAAGGCCUUCGGGUUGUAAAGCCCUUUUGUUGGGAAAGAAAAGCAGCAGGUUAAUACCCCGCUAUUCUGACGGUACCCAAAGAAUAAGCACCGGCUAACUUCGUG